GUGCUUCUGAGUGCUUAUUGCACCACAUGUGUUUUUCUUUGAAACAAACUUGCUUUGGCGGUGGGCCCAGCCUGCCGCCAGAGGUCUAAACUUACAACCAAUUUUUUAUCAACUUGUCACACCAGAUUAUUACUAAUAGUCAAAACUUUCAACAACGGAUCUCUUGGUUCUCGCAUCGAUGAAGAACGCAGCGAAAUGCGAUACGUAAUAUGAAUUGCAGAUAUUCGUGAAUCAUCGAAUCUUUGAACGCACAUUGCGCCCUCUGGUAUUCCGGAGGGCAUGCCUGUUUGAGCGUCGUUUCUCCCUCAAACCGCUGGGUUUGGUGUUGAGCAAUACGACUUGGGUUUGCUUGAAAGACGGUAGUGGUAAGGCGGGAUCGCUUUGACAAUGGCUUAGGUCUAACCAAAAACAUUGCUUGCGGCGGUAACGUCCACCACGUAUAUCUUCAAACUUUGACCUCAAAUCAGGUAGGACUACCCGCUGAACUUAAGCAUAUCAAAAGCCGGAGGAA
RNAcentral lists this ribosomal RNA (511 nucleotides) under Candida albicans. Its description in RNAcentral is "eukaryotic LSU rRNA". The stretch from base 144 to 297 matches the Rfam family "5.8S ribosomal RNA". Lineage: Eukaryota; Fungi; Ascomycota; Pichiomycetes; Serinales; Debaryomycetaceae. The record is from RNAcentral.